Molecule: ribosomal RNA, 95 nt
Filed under: Proteus mirabilis
Lineage: Bacteria; Pseudomonadati; Pseudomonadota; Gammaproteobacteria; Enterobacterales; Morganellaceae
Description: partial 23S ribosomal RNA
Source: RNAcentral
CGUUGAUAGGCUGAGUGUGUAAGCGUAGCGAUACGUUGAGCUAACCAGUACUAAUGAACCGUGAGGCUUAACCUGACAACACCGAAAGUGUUUUG